Molecule: transfer RNA, 72 nt
Filed under: Oostethus brachyurus (short-tailed pipefish)
Lineage: Eukaryota; Metazoa; Chordata; Actinopteri; Syngnathiformes; Syngnathidae
Description: tRNA-Lys
Rfam family: tRNA
About the family: Transfer RNA (tRNA) molecules are approximately 80 nucleotides in length. Their secondary structure includes four short double-helical elements and three loops (D, anti-codon, and T loops).
Source: RNAcentral
CACUAAGAAGCUAAUAAGAAACAGCGCUAGCCUUUUAAGCUCGAGAUAGGUGAUUACGCCCACCCUUAGUGA